AAUAGCACGCAGCCUCAUACCUGGGUAACAGGGUAGUCAAACCAACCAAAUCUUUUCAUAUGAAAGCAUUCUUAGUACAACAUGCUGGUCAGUACCCAAAUACAGAGCUUCUAUGUAGUUUAUGUACACAAAAGUAUACUUGCUUUACCCCAAAAGAAAGAAGCCCUGAUACCAAAUUAACGUGUCUCUGGCAGCUAUCAGUGGUAAGGAUCUGAAAGAAAAAGUAAAUGAACGGAUAUGAGCUACACGGCUCAGUAAGUAAUCCUGCAUAAUCUUGUCGAAUCGACUAAAAAUGCUAACCAUGCUUAUCAGGGUUUGAGAAGCUGACAUGUAUGCUACUAAAUCAAUCAUCAUAAUAAAAUAUCCAUGCUGAGUAAAUAAAACAGUAUCCUACAAUGUCAAGAAAUCAUGUAAUAUGCACAUGUAGGAAAAAU
RNAcentral lists this long non-coding RNA (434 nucleotides) under Phoenix dactylifera (date palm). RNAcentral describes it as "long non-coding RNA (PDAC_LNC015913)". The record is from RNAcentral. Lineage: Eukaryota; Viridiplantae; Streptophyta; Magnoliopsida; Arecales; Arecaceae.